CCGGUGAUAGCUCAGCUGGUAGAGCAUGGUACUGUAGUUGUAACAGUUCUCCCGUGGUCGGCGGUUCGAGUCCGUCUCGUCGGA
Molecule: transfer RNA, 84 nt
Organism: Naegleria gruberi
Lineage: Eukaryota; Heterolobosea; Eutetramitea; Acrasida; Naegleriidae
Rfam family: tRNA
About the family: Transfer RNA (tRNA) molecules are approximately 80 nucleotides in length.
Source: Rfam